This is a long non-coding RNA of Xenopus laevis (African clawed frog), 1045 nucleotides long. RefSeq lists it as uncharacterized. Lineage: Eukaryota; Metazoa; Chordata; Amphibia; Anura; Pipidae. The transcript is spliced from 3 exons. The record is from RefSeq and is a predicted model, not a curated record.
CAAGCAACAGUGCAGAGUUAAUGUUUAUAUGCCAUUCAUGUAGAUGGGAUUCUAACCAUUUUUUCCUGUGUGACUGGGCUCCGAUGAUGAUGCUGGAGGUAUAACUAAAAUCCUUGCCAUCAAGCUUCUAUCAUUUGCCAAAAAAGUCAGGCAAUGAUGGUUAUGGGUGUCAAUCUUGGCUGUUUACUCCAAUUGCUAAUCCAGCCACACCUGGUGAACAAAGGAAUUUUUGAAAGAUUAUAAUGCCUUAUCCAACACAGAAAAAGGAUCCAUCGCCCCUUCAAAACGGUCAACUUCUGAUUCUUCUCUGGCUCCUCUGAAAAUACAGCAUCAUCAUGUGGUUGGGAUUCUUCUUCCUCACAUUCUGCUUCACUUACAGGAUGACUUGCAUUGUCAACUAUGUCAAUAUUUGGGUUUGUAGGAAACACUCAAUUGCUAAAUUUAGCAUCCACUGCGCAACAAUGUUUAAUUGAUAGCUGGUCUGCAAGGUUGAAUACAAAGUAUCACAAUCACCCAAACAACUGAAGUGUGAGUCAAGUGUCCUGAUAGCCUGAACACUCGCCCUACAACUCCCACACACACCCUUAGUGUGCCACGCUUCCCACAACCAAACAAACCCACUGCAUUAAUUAUGUCAGUGCUGGACCGUUUCCUUAAAAACAUUGAAAUAAAAUUGCCCAGGUGGACGAGUGGUUGGCCUCGUGCAAACUUGCAGCAUGACCAAAUUCGCUCAAGUGAUCCUAUUAGGUAGGUAUACCCCCAAUCAGGACUGUAACCCCCUCCCUUCCAUUUUUCCAGGCGUACCUGCCUAUCUACGUUGGGAGCGGUCGGAGCUACUCUCACCACCCUCCACCUAUGCUGCCCUAUGCGUUUCGCUGACUCAUUGGCUUCUUCAGGGGCAUCAUCAUGUGAUUGGGAUUCUUCUUCCUCACAUUCUGCUUCCUCACAUUCUGCUUCACUUACAGGAUGACUUGCAUUGUCAACUAUGUCAAUAUUUGGGUUUGUAGGAAACACUCAAUAAAGCGCUUGGAUUAUUUUGUUCUAA